GGAAGCCACCUGAGAUGGCGCCCAUUUCCUGCUUCCGGGUUCUUCCCGGCCUGAACAAGCCCGCCAAAUUGUCAUAUCUGCCCAGUUACCCGUGACGCUAGCCUAUCAGCUUGUUAGGCGCGCUUCUCUGUGAUUGGAUACUGCUUCCCCUUAUAAGAGGUUGUUCCUGCCCCCAACGGCGGAAGAGGAAUCAACACCGAGGGUGGCGGACCUUGUCAGGUCCGGUUCGCUGUACGUAAUAAAGUUUGAGAGCUGAUCCUGCUCGAGUUUGGUCUCCUGUCUCCCGCGGCUCCGGUCAUCUGGUGGCCGCCCGUACGGGGAAAAAGGUAAAAGACUCAGCGACGUGCCUCUUCGGCCGGGAGGUGCGAUUGCUGUCGCCUGCGGUACGACGGAGGACCUGGCUCAAUAACAACGGAAGGCCGCGAGCGCCUCUUCUCUUCACCCUGAUCAGCUACGUGAGAUACAGCGGUUCCCGUGACAGGAACCAGGCUGCGAACCGCUGUGGGUCCCGGAAAGAUUGACGCGAGCAGUAAACUCCCCACCAGUUCCUGAUAAAGCACAGGAAGAUAAGCCCGCGGACACAAGUCAACUCGACCCUUCUGGGACCGACGCUCAGCGCCCGAGACCAUCUACAAACUAAAAUGUCUGGUUUGGAGCUUUUUCUAUUCUGUGGGUUCCUAUUAAUCACCCCUGUGAUAUGCUCAGAUUCCACAGAACCACCACAAUAUCUUUGGGGUCCUUGGCACCACCCGCCCACAUUGGCACCUUUUUCGGCGGCCUCGCCCGCCUCACCCAGGGUUUACACCAUCAAUCAAACAGUCCUUGAUUAUGCUAAUUGCCAUGGCUAUCCUAGUAGAGCUUGUGGUUAUUAAAUGCUUGUUAGAUCGCCUCAUACAAACUCAGCAGCAGGUUAAGAUCACAGCUAUGGCAGCCAUGCAAAUGGCAGCAGGUGGCCCAUCAGGCCAGCAGGCCGCCGCAUAUCUCCUUCACAUUGCAGAACAUCAGCUAUAAGAGCUGAGUGGGCAAGCCAAUGACGGGUAAGACGGGAAAAGCCCUCCCAGUCAACCUAAGACAGGCUCCACUCAGAUAUAUAUGGCCUAUAAGGCCAGGGGUCCCUCCUGGAGCCAAAUUAUUGGCAUUGAGAUGCGAGACCAAGGGUACUGCAGUGCCAUCCGCCCCAAAGGUUGGGGGGAAGGCAGGAAUGAAUGUCUAUAUGCAUCCAGGUUCGGUUCACAAAAGCCUGGCCCUGCGAAAAAAUGAACCACUCACCUUGAGCAUGGUCCUGGCGCAAGGAUAUGCACAAAACAGGGUGAUGCACAGCAGGGUAUAGACCUCUACAUUCUCUCAUGCCUCGGCCUACAAGGUAGGCCCACUCCUAGGUGUCUAACAGCAACAAGGUCAUAGACACCUUGGAGGGACCCACAGACCAUCCUAUUUUAAUAAAUAAAAAAGGGAGAGAUGUGGGAAGCCACCUGAGAUGGCGCCCAUUUCCUGCUUCCGGGUUCUUCCCGGCCUGAACAAGCCCGCCAAAUUGUCAUAUCUGCCCAGUUACCCGUGACGCUAGCCUAUCAGCUUGUUAGGCGCGCUUCUCUGUGAUUGGAUACUGCUUCCCCUUAUAAGAGGUUGUUCCUGCCCCCAACGGCGGAAGAGGAAUCAACACCGAGGGUGGCGGACCUUGUCAGGUCCGGUUCGCUGUACGUAAUAAAGUUUGAGAGCUGA
This is a long non-coding RNA of Cavia porcellus (domestic guinea pig), 1719 nucleotides long. RefSeq lists it as uncharacterized. The transcript is spliced from 2 exons. The record is from RefSeq and is a predicted model, not a curated record. NCBI's taxonomy places the organism in Eukaryota, Metazoa, Chordata, Mammalia, Rodentia, Caviidae.